UAGGAUAGGUGGGAGACUUUGAACUCUGAGCGCCAGCUCAGGGGGAGUCGUCGUUGAAAUACCACUCUGGUCGUGCUGGAUGUCUAACCUGGGUCCGUGAUCCGGAUCAGGGACAGUGUCUGAUGGGUAGUUUAACUGGGGCGGUUGCCUCCUAAAGAGUAACGGAGGCGCCCAAAGGUUCCCUCAGCCUGGUUGGUAAUCAGGUGUUGAGUGUAAGUGCACAAGGGAGCUUGACUGUGAGACCGACGGGUCGAGCAGGGACGAAAGUCGGGACUAGUGAUCCGGCGGUGGCUUGUGGAAGCGCCGUCGCUCAACGGAUAAAAGGUACCCCGGGGAUAACAGGCUGAUCUUCCCCAAGAGUCCAUAUCGACGGGAUGGUUUGGCACCUCGAUGUCGGCUCGUCGCAUCCUGGGGCUGGAGUCGGUCCCAAGGGUUGGGCUGUUCGCCCAUUAAAGCGGUACGCGAGCUGGGUUUAGAACGUCGUGAGACAGUUCGGUCCCUAUCCGCUGCGCGCGCAGGAAUAUUGAGAAGGGCUGUCCCUAGUACGAGAGGACCGGGACGGACGAACCUCUGGUGUGCCAGUUGUCCUGCCAAGGGCAUGGCUGGUUGGCUACGUUCGGGAGGGAUAACCGCUGAAAGCAUCUAAGCGGGAAGCCUGCUUCGAGAUGAGUAUUCCCACCCCCUUGAGGGGUUAAGGCUCCCAGUAGACGACUGGGUUGAUAGGCCGGAUCUGGAAGGCGGGUAACCGCUGGAGGUGACCGGUACUAAUAGGCCGAGGGCUUGUCCUCAGUUG
This 793-nucleotide ribosomal RNA is filed under the name Streptomyces olivochromogenes. RNAcentral's name for it is "bacterial LSU rRNA". It matches the Rfam family "Bacterial large subunit ribosomal RNA", at positions 2139 to 2925 of the family's 2925-position model. Lineage: Bacteria; Bacillati; Actinomycetota; Actinomycetes; Kitasatosporales; Streptomycetaceae. The record is from RNAcentral.